CCUACGGGAGGCAGCAGUAAGGAAUAUUGGACAAUGGAGGCAACUCUGAUCCAGCCAUGCCGCGUGAAGGAUUAAGGCCCUAUGGGUUGUAACUUCUUUUAGACGGGACAAAACCCCUUUACGUGUAAAGGGUUGAUGGUACUGUCAGAAUAAGCAUCGGCUAACUUCGUGCCAGCAGCCGCGGUAAU
RNAcentral lists this ribosomal RNA (188 nucleotides) under uncultured bacterium. Its description in RNAcentral is "partial 16S ribosomal RNA". It matches the Rfam family "Bacterial small subunit ribosomal RNA", at positions 338 to 524 of the family's 1533-position model. The record is from RNAcentral.